AUUGAUCAUGUAGUAAAUCAUGGUCACUCAAUGAGAGAGGCUGGUCAGAGAGUGCAGCCAAAUCUGCAACGCUCUACAGUGGCAUCUAUUGUUAGAGUUUUCCGGCAAACCAACAGGACUCAACGGUUACCUCACACAGGAGGGAGAGGACGGAUGUUCACUGAUGUGCAGGAAACUGCCAUUGUUGAUAUGGUCAUCAGAAACAAUGGGAUAAAACUCACUGAGAUUAGACACAGAGUCUUGGCAGACAACGUUACUUUCGCAAAUAUUCACAGUGUAAGCAUAACAACAAUUUCUAGAGUCCUGAAAAAACAUCAGGUCAGGAUGAAACAGUUGUACACUGUGCCUUUUGAGAGGAACUCUGAACAUGUCAAGCAACUCAGGAACCAGUAUGUCCAGGUGAGAAUAGGUGAGUCUUCAACCUGGAUUUAAAUAAACUGAGUGUUUCAGCUGAUCUGAGGCUUUCUGGGAGUUUGUUCCAGAUAUAAGGAGCAUAAAAGCUGAAUGCAGCUUCUCCGUGUCUGGUUCUGACUCUGGGGACUGAUAACAGACCGGAUCCAGAUGACCUGAGAGAUCUGGAAGGUUCAUACUGGGUCAGGAGGUCACUGAUGAAGGCAGGCAAACACACCACAUUUUCAUCUUUGUGGAUGAGGCAGGUUUCAACUUGGCCAAAGCACGGCGACGAGGGAGGAAUGUGAUUGGGAAGAGAGCCACAGUGAAUGUCCCGGGCCAGAGGGGUGCCAACAUCACAUGUGGGCAGCAAUAUCCACUGAUGGACUGCUGUUACACAGACCACUAAUUGGGCCAUACAACACUGAACGGCUCCUUGCGUUCCUGCAUGAUCUCUAUGGAAGGGUUGUGCUAGGUGAGGAAAGGGAUGCGGAGAGAAGGAAUCAGCCAACAUUUAUAAUUGUAUGGGACAAUGUGGCAUUUCAUCACUCCCGUGGAGUCACCGAGUGGUUUGCAGCCCAUCCCAGAAUGGAGUCUCUUUUCCUCCCACCUUACUCUCCAUUCCUCAACCCCAUAGAGGAAUUCUUUUCCUCAUGGCGGUGGAAGGUUUACGACCAUCAUCCACAUGAUCAAAUGUCCCUCCUGGAUGCAAUGAAUGCUGGAUGCCUGGAGAUAUCAGCAGAAGAUUGCCAGGGAUGGAUCAGGCAUGCCAGAAGAUUCUUUCCUAGGUGCAUUGCCCUAGAUGACAUAAGAUGUGAUGUGGAUGAGAACCUGUGGCCAAAUGGAGAAGACCGAGUAGAUUAGCAUUACUAUUGUAUGUGUAUCAGUGGAUGGGGUGUAUGCAAAUUCUUGUAUUUUGGGAUUAC
Molecule: long non-coding RNA, 1316 nt
Organism: Oreochromis aureus
Lineage: Eukaryota; Metazoa; Chordata; Actinopteri; Cichliformes; Cichlidae
Source: Ensembl